Molecule: ribosomal RNA, 775 nt
Filed under: uncultured Neocallimastigales
Lineage: Eukaryota; Fungi; Neocallimastigomycota; Neocallimastigomycetes; Neocallimastigales
Description: partial large subunit ribosomal RNA
Rfam family: Eukaryotic large subunit ribosomal RNA
Source: RNAcentral
AGAGAGAGACAUGCGCGCAUAUCAAUAAGCGGAGGAAAAGAAACUAACAAGGAUUCCCUUAGUAACGGCGAGUGAAGCGGGAAGAGCUCAAAUUUGAAUCUUCAAGGUUUUACCUUGACGAAUUGUAGUUUAAAGAAGUGUUUUCUGCUGAAGUUUUGGUAAAAGUUCUUUGGAAUAGGACAUCAUAGAGGGUGAGAAUCCCGUAUUUGACCAUUAUUUUCAGCUUUGUGAUACACUUUCAAAGAGUCGGAUUGUUUGGGAAUGCAGUCCAAAAUGGGUGGUAAAUUUCAUCUAAAGCUAAAUAUUGGCGAGAGACCGAUAGCGAACAAGUACCGUGAGGGAAAGAUGAAAAGAACUUUGAAAAGAGACGUUAAACAGUACGUGAAAUUGUCAAAAGGGAAGCGUUUGACACCAGUGUUGUUUUCUCGAAAAUCAAUUAAAAAUGGCUCGAUUUUGUAUUGCUUGAGACCUUAAAAGCUCACUGUACAUUUUUCGUGUCUUUUUUAAUGCACUUUUCGUUUAACAAGUCAACAUCAGUUUCUUUUGUUGUAAAAGGGUCAUUGGAAGGUGGCUUUCCUUUCGGAGAAAGUGUUUAUAGCCUUUGGCCUCUGCAAUCGGAGAGACUGAGGUCUGCAGCGUAGACUCUUCGGGGUUAGAUACAUUUGUGCUAAGUUAUAGCUUUUUAUAGACAACUUGUUGACUAUAAUUAGUCUUGUAGCUUACUCGCUUAUGCUAUUUUACCUACGCUUAGGAUGUUGAAGUCAUCGUAUCGCGC